RNAcentral lists this transfer RNA (66 nucleotides) under human gut metagenome. It matches the Rfam family "tRNA", at positions 7 to 64 of the family's 71-position model. Rfam says of the family: Transfer RNA (tRNA) molecules are approximately 80 nucleotides in length. Their secondary structure includes four short double-helical elements and three loops (D, anti-codon, and T loops). The record is from RNAcentral.
UAGUAGCUCAGCUGGAUAGAGCAACGGCCUUCUAAGCCGUGGGUCGGGGGUUCAAAUCCCUCCAGG